This 1471-nucleotide ribosomal RNA is filed under the name metagenome. RNAcentral describes it as "bacterial LSU rRNA". It matches the Rfam family "Bacterial large subunit ribosomal RNA", at positions 1430 to 2925 of the family's 2925-position model. The record is from RNAcentral.
CCAAAGAUUCCUGCACCCCUUGUUAUCAGAACUGCGGGGACACGGGAAGGGAAGCAGAGCCGGGAAUGGAAAGCCCGGUGCAAGCGAAGUAGUCGCAGGGUUGGAAAAUCCGCCCUGCAUGAGACGAAGGCGUGAUGCGGAGCGAAAUGAAGUAGUGAAGCUGCGGCCCCUUCCUGUCGAGAAAAGCCGCUAUCGUGUAGCAAGGGCCCGUACCGUAAACCGACACAGGUGGAUGAGGAGAGGAUCCUAAGGCCGGCGGGAGAAGUGUUGUUAAGGAACUCGGCAAAAUGACUCCGUAACUUCGGGAGAAGGAGUGCUGCGCAAGCAGCCGCAGAGAAAUGGCCCAAGCAACUGUUUAGCAAAAACACAGGUCUAUGCGAAACCGAAAGGUGAGGUAUAUGGGCUGACGCCUGCCCGGUGCUGGAAGGUUAAGGGGAGAGCUUAGCGCAAGCGAAGGUUUGAACUUAAGCCCCAGUAAACGGCGGCCGUAACAAUAACGGUCCUAAGGUAGCGAAAUUCCUUGUCGGGUAAGUUCCGACCCGCACGAAAGGCGUAAUGAUUUGGGCACUGUCUCAACAACACACCCGGUGAAAUUGAAAUACCAGUGAAGAUGCUGGUUACCCGCGCCAGGACGGAAAGACCCCAUGGAGCUUUACUCCAGCCUGAUACUGGGAUUCGGUAUUGCAUGUACAGGAUAGGUGGGAGGCUAAGAACUUAUGGCGCCAGCCGUGAGGGAGCCGAUGUUGGGAUACCACCCCUGCAGUACUGGGUUUCUAACCUGCGCCCGUGACCCGGGCGGGGGACAAUGUCAGGCGGGGAGUUUGACUGGGGCGGUCGCCUCCGAAAGGGUAUCGGUGGCGCUCAAAGGUCUCCUCAGGAUGGUUGGAAACCAUCCAGAGAGUGCAAAGGCAGAAGGAGGCUUGACUGCGACACCGACGGGUGGAGCAGGUACGAAAGUAGGACUUAGUGAUCCGGUGGCAUAAAGUGGGAUUGCCAUCGCUCAACGGAUAAAAGCUACCCUGGGAUAACAGGCUUAUCACUCCCAAGAGUUCACAUCGACGGAGUGGUUUGUCACCUCGAUGUCGACUCAUCGCAUCCUGGAGCUGGAGCAGGUUCCAAGGGUUGGGCUGUUCGCCCAUUAAAGCGGUACGCGAGCUGGGUUCAGAACGUCGUGAGUCAGUUCGGUCCCUAUCCGGCGCGGGCGCAGGAUAUCUGAGAGGAGCUGUCCUUAGUACGAGAGGACCGGGAUGGACCGUCCGCUGGUGGACCGGUUGUCAUGCCAAUGGCACGGCCGGGUAGCCAAGACGGGAAGGGAUAAACGCUGAAGGCAUCUAAGCGUGAAGCCCCCCUCAAGAUGAGAUAUCCAUACUCGAAAGAGUGAGAGACCCCUUAGAGACGAUGAGGUAGAUAGGGCAGAGAUGGAAGCACAGCGAUGUGUGGAGUUGACUGUUACUAAUCGGUCGAUAGCUUG